This 2615-nucleotide non-coding RNA is filed under the name Cordylochernes scorpioides. The record is from RNAcentral. Lineage: Eukaryota; Metazoa; Arthropoda; Arachnida; Pseudoscorpiones; Chernetidae.
AAUGCUAGCAGAAUAUUGUGGCGUAAGAUAAAGAGCAUACAACAUCAUGGUGUGAAACGAAAUAAUUUCAAGGUGGUAAUGGUGGCAUAUAGGUAACUCAGUCUCUUGAAGCGAAUCCAUAGAUUGUCACCCAUUAAUUCUAUACUGCUGUUUAGAUAUCUAUUUUGUCAAGCUGAAUAUCUCUCUCCAGACUGACAGUUUAGAAGUCUUGGCACUUUACACAAUUGUACAUGCAGUGGAUUGAAGUAUUUCUUUACUAAAAUUUGUUUAAUGUGGAUUUUUCGUACCCUGGUCUUGUAUGAAAUUCAGUCAACUUAAAAAAAAGUCUAAGUUCAUAUCGAGUUUAAAUAAUGCUGUGUGCGCCAGGUAUAACCUGGGCAGCGGGCCUGUCAUCCUGAGGUCCCCCCAGCGCGUACUACCGGGCAAGUUCCACCGGCUUGUGGCCAAGCGUUAUUUACAGGAGGGCAUGAUAGCUCUGGACGGCCAAGACGAUGUAAUGGGUCGCAGUCAAGGGCUGUUGAAGUCUCUGGACUUGGGGCAGAAUCUCUUCCUGGGCCACGUACCUGACAACACAGGGUAGGUUUUCUCUCACUGAAGGCAAUUAGGUAUAUCUAUAUAUAUAAAAAUGAAUGUUUGUAUGUUUGUUUGUAUGUCCUGUAUACAAAUUCGCAGUAGUUCACUAAUUCAAACCAAAAUUUCAAUACAUAGGUAAAAAAUACGGGAAAGACGAUAGGCUAUUUUAAAAAAUAAAUAAAUCAAUUAUUAAAACUAUAUAUUUUUAGUCAGAAAAUGAUGAUGACGAUAUUGCUGCAUCAUGUUUGAUUAUCAGAUACAAAAUUAUAUCGGGAAAAAUUCCAAAAAGCAGAGACCACGGGUGAAACCAGUUCAUUAUUUUGUACGCAGGAACAAAAUUCUAACAGAAAAACAUUCUUCCGAGCAGAAAACAAAAGCCAGAUCAUCUUUCUAUAAAAAUAUCGCUUCUCAGACACAAAGUUUGGAGCGGGACGUUUCACAAGAGUGACAUCCACGGCGCCAAUUUAUAAUUGUAACGAAUAGUAUUUGAAUAAAAACAUUUAAUCGGGUAAAACCCGGGCAUUGCCCGGGUCAUUCGGCUAGUAUUGUUAUAUAUAAGGCCGCGGCCGUAAAUCUGAACCAUUCUUUCAUACCAUAGUCUAGGUUCUAUGUUCUGGUGAUCUUAUGAAUACAUUAAAAUGUGUCACACUAAGCUAUAUAGAGAGGUCCAUUUUUAAAAUGACUGUCAACAUUUUUGGUCAAAUGAUCUUUUCUUAAGCGAUGACCUAUUCAAUAAGGCCAGAGACCACAAAAACGACUCACCACGUACCACAGGAUUUACAUUUUCUAAAGCUGUCAUUUAAAACUGCUUUAAUGAAAUUCAUUAAAUUUUUAUCAAACGUAUUUUAAGAUAUUAGUUUUUUUUUAAUUUUAUUAGAUAAAAGUGAACAGUAUCGUGUUAAAUAAUUUUAAAUUCACCAAAUUUUAGUUUCAUUAGUAUAAGAGAAACUCAAAAGAAUUCGCCUGAAUACAGUGAUGGUGAGUCCCUUGACUGACAGUUGACUGAUUUUAUUCUAUUUCAAAUUUGAAAAAAAAAAACAUAGUUUUUAAGUGCUAGCCUCAGUUUGAAGGCUGGCCAUCAGUCUCGUCAAAUAUUACGAUCUUCUGCCAAUGAUAAUGGCAAUAUGGUCAGAUUUUAAUCUAUAUUAGUAUAUCAAUCUAGUUGUUAAACGUCUGUCUCUUCUGGGAUACUUCCGGUAGUAAAGGUUCAGUAUAUUUAGAACACUCUCUCGCCACAAUAUUUAGAAAGUACUCAAGGAGACAUAUGAUAGAUACAGUUGCAUAUUUAAAAGAUGUUCAGGUUCAGUAUAUUAACGGGGCUGCCUGUACAUUGAGAUCACAAUACUAAAGGAACGUGUCUGUAUCCAGGAUCUGGGAGAACGUGGGAGUCCGUACAGGACUGGUGGGUUGCAUUCGACGUCUGAAAGUGGGACGUAAGCUGCUGGACCUUAGGUUCCCCACUUCGAAGGACAUCUUGAGGGCCAAGGACAUUCGGGAGUGUACAGAUGGACCUUGUGACUGGCGCCCCUGCCGGAAUGGGGCGACCUGUCUUGGUCCUCCGCAGGCCUUCCUGCAGUGUGUCUGUGCUCCAAAGUUUACUGGUACCUAUCAUAUAUUUUAUCUUAUAUAGAUACUUAUGUAUACCUAAUGCACACACAUACACAGUCUAUUAAUCUACAUCUUUGCUCAAUUAAAUUCUAAAUUGCUGAGUUAGCUCAACAAAUAUAUUUUCAGUUUAGAUAUCCUUAUAAUCCAGAGUGGCAUAGUCAACGGGCUAAUGUACUAGAAUAUGAUUUAUCUACAUGUAUAUAAAAUUUCUUACAUCAUGUGACAUAUCCAGAACGUGUCUUCAGGCCAAUUCUGCGAAGUCCCCAUCAACCCUUGUUACAACAAUCCAUGUAGAGAGGGCAGCACUGUCAAGCUCUUCCCCAGGGUGGCUUCGUGUGUCUCUGCGACGUGGGAAGCAGAGGGCGCUUUUGUGAACUACGUGAGUAGCAAUCUGCUAUGGACCUCAAGGGAACGACCCAUCUGAUGAAGACAAC